UUUAAUUAUUGUCAUUAUUAGUGAAAGAAUAUUGUACAAUUAUUGAAUAAAUCUUGUUUAAUUACAAUGAUUAGAAGAUACACGUACGUUAUACGUUAGAGAAAAACAAAUACGGAAUAGGAAUACACGACGUGUUAUUAUUAUUCGUAGAAGUCAAAGGAAUACGGCAAAUGAAUAUACACAAAUAUACCUGCUGACUAAUCUCGAGAUUUCGUGUAUUUUUGUUUUCGCAACAAUCGAGGCACCACUGUUUGUAGCGAUGGCCUUGUAACAAGUAUUGCCUCUCAUUGUGGCCGUGUAAACGUUGACGAAUGGAUCGACACGCGCUUGGAAACGUUAAUAUUAACCAACGCAAAAUUGAAAUUGUGUGAUUUCAUCAUUAUUAUUCUUAAUCACUGUCUUUUUUUAGAAAUUUUCUAUAAAAAGAAUAAUACGUAAUACGAUAUCGAAUCGAAGGAGCGUUCAUUUUUACGUUUCACACUAUCGAAAAGGGAUUCGGAAAUAUCCUUUUAAUUAUCGAUUACGUUUCUUCAAUAAAAGUCAAAUACUUGGGAGAUGCUUUCAAGACUAAGCUUAAAAAAAGAUACCAUCAAGAGACUCAAAUCCAGUUAUCAAAUCCCAUAGCGAAUUAAACUUGUUUCAAACGUGAAAUCUAAUUAAUUUUCUAAAAGGUUGUCGAUUUAUGCUUACGUCGACAAUUUAAUUAACGGUAUCAAUUUCGGUGAAAUGUAUUUUACCUUCGUGGAAUUCUGUAUCUGUAUGUAUGAAUGCAUGAAAGUCCGGCUCACCCACCGAAUAACCACAAAAUACAAGUGACACACGAAGGGUUACGAAGCGUCACGAAGUGACCCGAAUAAGGUUCUACGGGACGCUAGUAAGUAUAUGUAUACUAACCACGACCUCAUUCGAACUUUUACAAGCCACUGUAUACGAACGAUUCCCAUACCUGUCUAAAUGUCCAAUUAUAAAUAUUACAAUCUCCAGUAUAAUGGAAAAAGUUUCAUUCUCUCGAUAGUGCGUCAAGUUAGAAAUUUUAUAACCUAAAUGAAUAUGUUAGUACAAGAUAUUUCUCUUAUAUUCAAUUCAAAGAGAGAAGUCAGGUCGGAACAAACCAAGUAAAUUAUUCAUAUGUCAUAAUAUAUAUAUAUAUAUUUCAAGAAUUUUAUUUCUCAAAUGCUUUCAACAAAUUCACAUAAUUCAUGACAAUUUAAUGCGUGCAAGUUGGUAAUAAUAUACAUUUUUAUAAAAGCUUUCUAUAAACUCGCAGUACAAUACUUCUAUUUUACAUAGAAAUUAUCAUCGAAAGUUUUGUUGAAAACAUAGUUUCGUCAUAAUUUAGCGUAAUUAUACGCCAAGUAUAGUACCAUUUGUAAUGAUAAGGGUUAAUUAAGAAAGUGACUCGUAAGUGGUUGGUUUCCAACAGAGAGAACAAACAACCAACCGGGGUUCUCUUGGCCCAAACAGAAAAACAAAAAAAAACUGUUCCUGUGUUCCUGUGCAAGUUCUUAUUACUUCAGUCAUUUAUUCGUCCUCGUCACUUAACCUUAUGGAUAUAUUCAUGAUUCACUACCAGCAACAGAUCAUUUCCUCGUCCGUGAUCCAUACUGAUGUAUUGUACACGACAAUCUCUAAUGAAAUAUCAGCCCACACUACGAACGCAAAUAAUCGACAUUUAUAAUUCAAUUGAAAGUCACGAAGGCUGAACAACGUCAGAGAAGAAUCUUCCAAUGUGAAUGAUUCAUUCUUCCUUCAUUGAAUACAAAAUUCAUCGAUUAUUGGAUAGGAACUAACAAACUUGUAAAAUUUCCAAUAAAUUUGAAGUUUUCGGAUAUCGAAGUUACAAACAAAACAACAUUUCGAUCGGUUUACAAUGCUCGACGAAUAAACAACGAAAAAAACGAAAAAAAAGAGAUAAAAAGUAUUUAAAAAAAAAAACAAAUUGACAAAGGAAAAGGGAAACCGAAAACAGAGAAAAACACAUCGAAAAUGCAACGAUAUAAAACGAGAACUAUUCGAUGAAAGAGGUUGUAGAUUGGAGUAAAUUCACUUUAUUACUUCAUGAGUAAGCAAGAGACAAGGGAAGCGAGUAGUUUAUUGAGAAUUACUGUGAUAAAUAAGGCGGGAGCAAGCAGUGGAAGAGGUUACACCGAAGAGUGGGGAAUGGCAACGCGAGGAGAACGAUCUCCACUCCAUGGAUACUCCUCGUAAUGUGUACCGUAUGCAGCUACAUCUACACGCAUACGCCAUCUCUGAGCGCAUACGUUUACGUGUGUUCAUGUAAACGCGUUCUCUCUCUCCUUUCUCCUAUCUCUCUCUCUCUCUCUCUCUCUCUCGCUCUGUCCCCUCCCUUCUAUCCCCACUCCAUUUCUAUACGCGCGCGUGUAUUUAUAUGAUACACUAUUCAAGUGCGCGUGCGGAGAAUUCAGUUUCGUAUGUGCACACGAACGAUACAGUAUAUACAGACGGUGUUUCACGAAUAGGAUUACACUCGUCCAACAUUAAAUAGACUCUUGUAUUCGCGAUAAAGUUAUUUUUACGAUCGUCGUGAAGACAUUCGUCGAGUUAUCCUCCAUGAAAAAGCAUCAGCAACAAUUUCAGUUGCGAAUGCGACUACCAGUAGGUAGGGAGGAAAUUUUUCUCUCGGCCAGACGCGAGGUUGAACACACUGUAGAGCGAUGGCGAGCAAAGUGGGGGUAGGGCUAUACCGCAUGUGUAUAUAUACACCAAUCUACAGAGAGACCGAAUGGUCAAUGCUUGCUUGGCACUGUCACACAAAUAUGACACCAGGAUCGAACGGAAUUCAAUACUGGUUUGAAAUUUGUAAUCAGAUUGACGGCAAAUUUCCGAUGAAUCGUGACAACAUCAUCUACAUAUAUGGAGAGGACGGAGAUAUUCGGAUGACAGAUGCAAAUACGGAAUAAAAGCAAGAGGAGAAUAUAAUAAUCAAUGGAAAUACGACGACACGAAAUAAAACAAAACGGAGAAGAGUGGUGUAAUAAUCGAUGCUUCUGGAUAGAAAUAUUAAAUUAAAAAAAAUUUAUGAAUCGCGUCUAGCGGAGCGCGACAACGAUUAUUAAUGUAACGUUAAUAAUUUUAUUGUAACGCUCGAUUGGGCGCAUCGUAAAUUAUUAGCAAUGACAAUAACGCGUUUUGAUGCAUUUAUUCAUCCUGUGUACAAUACAGAAAUAAUAAAACCGAAACGAAACGAAUGGAACGAAAUAAUGUAAAAUGUGAGACAAAGAUGGGGAGGAACAAGAUUGAAGACCACGCUUGUAUUUCUGCAAUUGUAAUAAACACACAGUAAAACAAUUCAUCUUUGUCGGAAAAUUUGUUUGCUCGCGAAACGAUGGAAAAUUUGAAAAGAAUCUCCAAAACGGAAACAAGAAUUAGAUAAAAGAUCGAUACUAGAAAAACGCCCAGGUCUCGUUGAGAAACGUGUUGUUUCCCCAAUGAAUUUUGCGAUUAAUUUGAUCGUGUUUUAAAUAUUUUAAUAAAUGAAAUAAAUUGCAUCAGCGGGAAAUAAAAAAUAAGAGGAAAAUAUCGACGAAAAUGCUUGGAAACGGAAAGAGAGAAAGUUUUUUUCAGGUGGAGAGAGAACCCGUGGGCAAAGGAGUGUGGGAAUAGGUGAAAGAAAUGCAUUCGAGGCAUGUAAUCCGUUUAUAUUCCCUGUGAUUGACCGUUCUCCCAUCAGUCCCUGUUACACGAGAACGUAACUCCUCCGUUGAAAUCCGUUUCCCGCCCAUUGUGAUGGAACACGCACAUACAAGACGGAAAUAAUAAAUACGGAAAGUUUGUUAUUACUCGUAAUUUCAAUUUCAAUCAAAUCUGAAUUUAAUAAGACAAGUUUUCACUCGUAAUAUAAUCAAUUUUUAAUUUUUUUUUUUUUUAAACGAUUUAAUUCAAUGCUCGAUAAUUCAUAAUAAUUCAUUAUUUUACGUUUUCAGUUCAAUUUAUCGUAACAAUAAUUUCACGUCUCACAGGUUCACCCUUUUUAUCCUUUACAUCUCUCAUCUUUUACGAGGUUACGUUUUAAUUACAAUUCCACAAAGUUGAUAAAGUUUAAACGGGAGCACGCAUAGUACGGUGAAAAGAAAAAGGAAAAAGGAAAAAGGAAAGUACAAUAUAUCUUUAGUAACAUUUAUUGAAACUCUCCACGGAAAUCAUGACACGUAUGAUGACGAAUAGGUUUUAUUUUCUCGGCCGAUCGAAAGAGGCGGGGGAGGAGGAGAGAGAGAGGGAGGAUGGAAUCUGGAACUUCACCCUCCGCCCGUCAAAAGAUAAAGCGCAAGAUACACAGGAAGUAGUAAGUAAAUAAAACACCUCGAAAGAAGUAGUAGUACCUGCUACAUGAUAUACGACCGAUCUUUCACCGUUCCCGUUGCCGGUUGAUAACUCGAUUUGUCAAUAUCAGACGGGGGGGAUACUAUCGAAUUUAUUUUUUUUUCUUUUUUUUUUUAUACAAAUCCCGAUUCACCGGGUCGCAAAGUAAAUUCUUUCGCCUCGUGUGACGAGAACUGCACGGCACACGAUUUCAUAUUCCAACGAAGGAAAGUAUUUUGCAUAAUUUAUUUCGCUGCAACUUCUUUUCCACCUUGCGUCGCCCUUUUCCGCCCACCUCCGCCCAACGUGGUCGCCAUCCCCUUCCCUCCACGUUGCUUGUUACAAACCACGCCCCCUUCUUUUCGAAUCCCUCUUUUCGAAUCCUUUUUGUUUCCGUCAACGUUGCGAAACUAUUGAGAUCGAUCGUUCCUCCAUUUCAUUCAUUCUCCAAUUCCUUCUUGGAAUUCUCUACAAGGUCGUCCCGAAUAAAAGUUGCCGCCAAUGUGGAUGGAUGGACAGUCUGUUUUUUUGAUUAAAAAAAAAAGGAAGAAGAAAGAGAGAGAAAGGGAAAUUAUUUUGGAUUUUGGAAUUUUAAAGAUUAAAUUGAUCUGCAGAUUUAUGAAGUUAGCAUCGUAGCCAGAGACGAGGGAGUAAUUACGUAAAAUUACAUAAUACCGUUAAUGACGUUUACGCCACGAGAAAUUAGGUUCAUCACGGACAAAUUUAGCACAGUUAUGGAUCCCUGUAUUGUAUCCCUUAAAUGGGGCUGCUGUUAAUUAAGAUUAAUAAAACACCAUCAAUUGCAAUGGCUGGUUUUGAUCAAUCGAUAAUAUUUUUAUCGAAGUCGCGAUAUAAACUACACAAAAUUCGCGAAGAAUAUUUUUCUUCAAGUUUGAAGAUCUUACAAAAAUGAACAUGUAUUAAUAAUAAUACAGAUUGUUAUCCCAGAUAUUUUUUUUUUUUUAAAUCUCACCAGGGCAAAAAAUAUCCAUGUUCAAAGGGUUAACUCGACAAUUUCCGUUCACAAGCACGAACAGUAUAAGUAAAAGCACAAUCGGGGGAACUCGAUCAAACACGCGAAGACAAACGAGUCAUUUAUAAUGACUUGCGACAUUUGACACGAAAUUACGAGAGAUUAAAGCAUGAUACGAUAAUUUGUAUGAAUAUGUAAUUGAAAAAAAAAAAAAGAAAGAAAAUUAACAUGGAGCAAGUAAGCUUACUUUUAUCGCUUACCUUUAUUCAUUCUUCGAAUAAAUUCUCAAACGUUUGCGACAAUUCAAAGUCGUCGGUGAAAUUUCCGAGGAACAAAUAGAAGAAGAAUCUCGUCGAGAAGAAAGUUUUCGCGAGGUAAUCGUGGCUGGUAAUUAUUAUACCGUUAAUUAUUGCAAAAGCAAAACAAAAGUUUAUGGGCCACUGAAUGAAACUUUAUUAUUCGCUUUACUUGUUCAUUUAUUCAUUUCGUUUGGCAGAAAGUAAUUCGAUAACUCGGUAUCGAUGACAAGGUUAGAAAAAGAGCGCUCGAGCGGGGAAUUUUUUUUUUCCCCUAGACGCGCGGCACGCGUCGCGGGGCAACCAAGCGACAACGUAAUUUAUCCAUUCGGAUAUCCCCUCCCCCAUCGAGCGCGUUCGUAAGAAAAACAGGAAACUUUUCCGCCGGUGGCACGUGUACGCGCUUGUUGUAAACUUCGCACCGCAUAAAAGCAUGUAAAUUGCAGCUCGCGUGUACGUGCUUGGCGUAAAGCUUCCAGAGAGCACUUCGUUUUCGCAUUUAACCAACCUCAUUCUUGUUUGAUCAGCCCUGCCACAGCUUCGAAUCGCUUUGAACGCAUUUUAAGUCAAACUUUUGCAAACUAUUUCUGCAAUAUCCCUCUCCAAUCCUUCGAUACACUGUUUAUAAUAAACGAUUGAUAUAUUCGCGAGAUAUUUUUGAAGGAUUUCUAAAAACGCCCAGUAUGCAAUAACCGAGUGGUCGAUGAAAUUGCAAAUAUAAAAAAAAAAUUUGUUUUUCAAUUCUUCUAUAUAAAACUUUUCUUCUAUUUCGAUCGAAGUCGUAAAUUUUAUUCGGAAGAAGAACAAUUUUAUCGAACAAAUCCGAAAAUGAUUGCAAAAGAAGCUACGAUUGCGGAAGGUGGAACGAUUCUCGGUAAAUUGGACAUUUGAGCCACGGAAAAAGGGACUUUAAUUACGUUCGCAUCGAACUUCUUACCGGGUCUUGAAUCGAUUUUUCUUCUUCUUUUCUCGAAUUAAUCCUUUCGCGGCCCCGUGUUGUACCUCUGUGUUGGCCUCUGUGAUUCUGAUGUUUUUCAUUAAAAUCUCUACGGGUUUAUUCAAUGCAAACAAAUUGUUACGAAAUAUUUCUCGAAUAUGGAAGAUCAAAAAUGAACGGAAGUUGAAGAUUAAUUUUGCGCCUUAUUAAAAUUUAAUUGCUCGAUUGUGACGCGACAAAAAAUUAAAUUCAUAAAGUUUCGAUUCAUCGAAAGAUCGAUAAAGAAAUUUAAUGGAGAGAGAAGGAAUAAGAAGUAAUAAGGAUGGAAUUAUUUCAACAAUUCAAAUUCACGAAAAUAUGUUUUAUUUCAUGUGUAAUCGUGGGAUUACUAGAUUUUCAUAUAAGCAACAUCGUUUGAAUUCUGUAAACGUGGAGAAAUUUUAGAUAGAAAGGGAGAGAAAAGAAGAGAAAAUGUUCGUGGAUCAAGAAUGGUUAUUCUCAUUCGAAUGUCGUGUCGCGAAAAUCGAGAUGAGCGACUUCCAUUUCGCUAUUGCUCAUUCCACCUUUUCAGCGGCUGUGUCAAGACACGAAAUUCUCGAAAUAGACGGCACCACGAGAGCGAGGGAAAACGUGAAACAGAGAGGGGGGGAGGGACGAAGAUGAAAAUUCGACCAAGAAUCUUCUAAUCCAAUCCAAUUCAUCGUUGAAAAGAUUGUAUUUGACGUCGACCGGCGUUAUAUACGCUUAUGACGAAUACUUUUUCAAUUUUCAAACUUCUAUACGAUUUGUAAUAUUAUUUUGAAUUUUAUUUUCAUAUUUUAAAAUUCUUUCUAGAUAAAUAUUACGAACGAGAGAUAUAAAAGAUUUGCCCCGUCAGAGAAUGAAAAAAGAAGGAAGACUUUUCACUCAAUUGGGGCCAAAGAUUUUGAAAUAAAUAUAUUACAUAUAUAUUAUGUAAUCAACUAUUGGCACAUGAUCAAAUUAAUUCAUUAUUUGGAAGCCUUUUGAUAUCUUUCAGCAUCAACUCUUUCAGAGCUGAAUGAUUGUGGAAAAAAUUUUUUUAAUAUUAAUUAUUAACGAUUAUUAAUUAUUUUGUAAAUUUAACAUGAAUAUUUACUUUUUGAUUG
This is a long non-coding RNA of Apis mellifera (honey bee), 7653 nucleotides long. RefSeq lists it as uncharacterized. Lineage: Eukaryota; Metazoa; Arthropoda; Insecta; Hymenoptera; Apidae. The transcript has 15 exons. The record is from RefSeq and is a predicted model, not a curated record.